This 217-nucleotide unclassified non-coding RNA is filed under the name fungal sp. Its description in RNAcentral is "partial internal transcribed spacer region". The stretch from base 1 to 46 matches the Rfam family "Eukaryotic small subunit ribosomal RNA", at positions 1786 to 1831 of the family's 1831-position model. Lineage: Eukaryota; Fungi. RNAcentral also lists the same sequence under 2 other names. The record is from RNAcentral.
AAGUCGUAACAAGGUUUCCGUAGGUGAACCUGCGGAAGGAUCAUUAAAGAUUCACAACUGUGCGCUCCGGCUGCACGUUGUAUAAACCUCACACACAUCGUGCACAACCUCGGUCGCGGUCUUAAUUGACCGCCUCCGCCUUUCACAUGCAACAAGUAGUCUAGAAUGUAAAAACCAUAACAAAAUACAACUUUCAACAACGGAUCUCUUGGCUCUC